This 89-nucleotide ribosomal RNA is filed under the name Colocasia esculenta (taro). The record is from RNAcentral. Lineage: Eukaryota; Viridiplantae; Streptophyta; Magnoliopsida; Alismatales; Araceae.
GAUCCCAUCAGAACUCCGAAGUUAAGCCACCUUGGGUGAGAGUAGUAGUAGAAUGGGUGACCUCCUGGGGAGUUCUCAUGUUGCACCCC